Osmerus eperlanus (European smelt) is the source of this 841-nucleotide long non-coding RNA. RefSeq lists it as uncharacterized. The transcript is spliced from 5 exons. The record is from RefSeq and is a predicted model, not a curated record. NCBI's taxonomy places the organism in Eukaryota, Metazoa, Chordata, Actinopteri, Osmeriformes, Osmeridae.
GCCAAAAAGAAGCCUUCCAUAUUUGUCCUCGACAAACCGUCAGUCUCCACCAACAAUGCUGGUCUAGCUGGACCGGGUGAGAUGACAAAUGACGCCAUCCAGAGAGAGUUGCUGGAGCUACGAGAGAGAGACCGGCAGAGAGAGCGGCGGGUUCAUCUAUGGGUGGAGAGGGAGAAGCUGCGGAGGGAGGCAAGGGAGGGAAGAGUGAAAGAGCUGGAGAACCAGGUGGAGGACCUACAGGUUUCCAUCGAAGAGCUCCAACAAAAAAACCUUUCACUGAUGAAAAGGAUUGACAAAUUCAAACGGGAUACCUCGGACAGAGUACCGAAGAAAAAAAAGAAGUGUGCCGUCUUCGGAUGAUGAGGAUUCUGAAUGCACAGAUGAAGGUGGAGUGGUCCCUCAGUAAAUUUACGAUAAAUGCUCCAAGGGUACCGUCAAUUAAAGAAGAAAAAAAAACAGCAACUGUCAGUGGAUCUCAGAGAUCUUCAAGAGAAAUAUGCAGAAUUGGAAAAAGAAAUAAAAGAAAUACACAAUGAGCGUGAUCGGUAUAAAAGCUACCUCCGCUCCAUCCAGGGCAACGUCCGAACACUGCUCUAAGGGGAGGUGUUAGAGGCAGCACAUGAGUGCCCAGAUCCAUGCCAACUGCCAAGGUCCAGACUAAGCCUCAAGCCCAGAUCCACACCCAGCCUCAGGUCCAUGUCAAGGUCCAGACCCAGCCUCAGGGCCAAGUCCACACCCAGCCUCAGGUCCAAGUCAAGGUCCAGACCCAGCCUCAGGACCAAGUCCAGCAUGUCCAGACCCAGCCUCAGGCCCAAGUCAAGCAGGUCCAGACCCAGCCUCA